Molecule: ribosomal RNA, 253 nt
Filed under: uncultured bacterium
Lineage: Bacteria
Description: partial 16S ribosomal RNA
Rfam family: Bacterial small subunit ribosomal RNA
Source: RNAcentral
UACGGAGGGGGCUAUCGUUUUUCGGAAUUACUGGGCGUAAAGCGCACGUAGGCGGAUUGUUAAGGCGGGGGUGAAAUCCUGGGGCUCAACCUCAGAAUUGCCUUCGAUACUGGCAGUCUUGAGUACGGGAGAGGUGAGUGGAAUUCCCAGUGUAGAGGUGAAAUUCGUAGAUAUUGGGAAGAACACCAGUGGCGAAGGCGGCUCACUGGCCAGUAACUGACGCUGAGGUGCGAAAGCGUGCGGAGCAACCAGG